This 707-nucleotide ribosomal RNA is filed under the name uncultured archaeon. RNAcentral's name for it is "bacterial SSU rRNA". It matches the Rfam family "Archaeal small subunit ribosomal RNA", at positions 90 to 802 of the family's 1478-position model. The record is from RNAcentral.
UCAGUAACCGUGGAUAACUUAACCUUAGGUCCGGCAUAACCCCGGGAAACUGGGAUAACUCCGGAUGUAUCAAGGAUGCUGGAAUCCCUUGGUUCAAAGCUUUUGUGCCUAAGGAUAGGUCUGCGGUCUAUCAGGUUGUAGUGGGUGUAACGUACCUACUAGCCGACGACGGAUACGGGUUGUGAGAGCAAGAGCCCGGAGAUGGAUUCUGAGACAAGAAUCCAGGCCCUACGGGGUGCAGCAGGCGCGAACACUUUACAAUGCGGGAAACCGCGAUAAGGGAACCCCGAGUGCCAGUACUAAGUGCUGGCUGUCUAGAUGAAUAGAUAUCAUUUAAUAGCAAGGGCCGGGCAAGACCGGUGCCAGCCGCCGCGGUAACACCGGCGGCCCGAGUGGUAACCGCUAUUAUUGGGUCUAAAGGGUCCGUAGCCUGUUUAAUAAGUCCUUUGGGAAAUCUGGCAGCUUAACUGUCAGGCUGCUAAAGGAUACUGUUAAACUUGGGACCGGUAGACGUAGGGGGUACUCCAGGGGUAGGAGUGAAAUCUUGUAAUCCCUGGGGGACCAUCUGUGGCGAAGCGCCCUACGAGAACGGGUCCGACGGUGAGGGACGAAAGCUAGGGGAGCAAACCGGGAUUAGAUACCCGGGUAGUCCUAGCUGUAAACGAUGCUCGCUAGGUGUCAGGCACGGUGCGAUCGUGUCUGGUGCC